RNAcentral lists this ribosomal RNA (433 nucleotides) under uncultured bacterium. RNAcentral's name for it is "partial 16S ribosomal RNA". It matches the Rfam family "Bacterial small subunit ribosomal RNA", at positions 31 to 507 of the family's 1533-position model. The record is from RNAcentral.
AGAGAAAGCUGGCGGCAGGCCUAACACAUGCAAGUCGAACGAACUCUUCGGAGUUAGUGGCGGACGGGUGAGUAACACGUGGGAACGUGCCUUUUGGUUCGGAAUAACUCAGGGAAACUUGUGCUAAUACCGAAUGUGCCCUUCGGGGGAAAGAUUUAUCGCCAUUAGAGCGGCCCGCGUCUGAUUAGCUAGUUGGUGAGGUAACGGCUCACCAAGGCGACGAUCAGUAGCUGGUCUGAGAGGAUGACCAGCCACACUGGGACUGAGACACGGCCCAGACUCCUACGGGAGGCAGCAGUGGGGAAUCUUGCGCAAUGGGCGAAAGCCUGACGCAGCCAUGCCGCGUGAAUGAUGAAGGUCUUAGGAUUGUAAAAUUCUUUCACCGGGGACGAUAAUGACGGUACCCGGAGAAGAAGCCCCGGCUAACUUCGUG